AAUACCGCAUACGUCCGUACGGGAGAAAGGAGGGCCUCUGCUUGCACGCUCUCACUCCAGGAUGACGCCCACGUCCGAUUAGCUAGUUGGUAGGUAAAGGCCUACCAAGGCCACGAUCGGUAGCUGGUCUGAGAGGAUGAUCAGCCACACUGGGACUGAGACACGGCCCAGACUCCUACGGGAGGCAGCAGUGGGGAAUAUUGGACAAUGGGCGCAAGCCUGAUCCAGCAAUGCCGCGUGUGUGAAGAAGGCCUGCGGGUUGUAAAGCACUUUCAGUGGGGAAGAACAGAUUCGGGUCAAUACCCCGGAGCCCUGACGUUACCCACAGAAGAAGCACCGGCUAACUCCGUG
Molecule: ribosomal RNA, 351 nt
Filed under: uncultured bacterium
Lineage: Bacteria
Description: bacterial SSU rRNA
Rfam family: Bacterial small subunit ribosomal RNA
Source: RNAcentral